Molecule: ribosomal RNA, 1015 nt
Filed under: uncultured Neocallimastigales
Lineage: Eukaryota; Fungi; Neocallimastigomycota; Neocallimastigomycetes; Neocallimastigales
Description: partial large subunit ribosomal RNA
Rfam family: Eukaryotic large subunit ribosomal RNA
Source: RNAcentral
CGCAUCUGUGCAUGCAGCAUAUCAAUAGCGGAGGAAAAGAAACUAACAAGGAUUCCCUUAGUAACGGCGAGUGAAGCGGGAAGAGCUCAAAUUUGAAAUCUUCAAGGUUUUACCUUGACGAAUUGUAGUUUAAAGAAGUGUUUUCUGUUGAAGUUUUCGGUAAAAGUUCUUUGGAAUAGGACAUCAUAGAGGGUGAGAAUCCCGCUAUUUGACCAUUAUUUUCAGCUGUGUGAUACACUUUCAAAGAGUCGGAUUGUUUGGGAAUGCAGUCCAAAAUGGGUGGUAAAUUUCAUCUAAAGCUAAAUAUUGGCGAGAGACCGAUAGCGAACAAGUACCGUGAGGGAAAGAUGAAAAGAACUUUGAAAAGAGAGUUAAACAGUACGUGAAAUUGUCAAAAGGGAAGCGUUUGACACCAGUGUUGUUUUCUCGAAAAUCAAUUAAAAAGAGUUUGAUUUUGUGUUGUAUUGACCUUAACAGCUUGCAUUUCAAUUUUCUUGCUUUUUUUAAUGCACUUUUCGUUUAACAAGUCAACAUCAGUUUCUUUUGUUGUAAAAAGGUCAUUGGAAGGUGGCUUUCUUUUCGGAGAAAGUGUUUAUAGCCUUUGACUCCUGCAAUCGGAGAGACUGAGGUCUGCAGCGUAGAUCCUUCGGGGUUAGAUACAUUUGUGCUAAGUUAUAGCUUUUUAUAGACAACUUGUUGACUAUGAUUAGUCUUGUAGCUUACUCGCUUAUGCUAUUUUACCUACGCUUAGGAUGUUGACGCGCGUGUGUGCGUGAGUCUAUACAUGACUCUGUGCAUAUCAAUAAGCGGAGGAAAAGGGCUACCUACGCUUAGGAUGUUGACGCGCGUGUGUGCGUGAUCUAUACAUGACUCUGCGCAUAUCAAUAAGCGGAGGAAAAGAGGGCUAUUACCUACGCUUAGGAUGUUGAAGCCAUCGCAUCUGUGCAUGCAGCAUAUCAAUAAGCGGAGGAAAAGGCGUACCUACGCUUAGGAUGUUGACGCGCGUGUGUGCGUG